CCUAAACCAAAGCAAAAGGAACAAAAACUCUUCGCUCGCGGCUCGCCCACCAAAUCCCGGAGCAGAGCACACUGAUAAAACUACACUUCCACCGAUCCCUCGCUUUCUUCGAAAUUAAGCAUAUAUUCCAGCAGUUUCCAUCAAUCCAUCCAAAAUUUGCUCCAGUACACCGUGUAGGAGUCCCGUUUUCCUUGACGAGCGAUAGCUGCAGCGGUUGGGGGUGGUGGCGAUGGAGUGCCCACCACCUGUUCGACGGGAGGACGGCGAAAUUGAUUGGGCCGAGGCGGCGAGGAAAUACCUCGACGUGGUCUCCUCGGGCCACGAGGGGGCGGCGGUGAGGGCCACGCUCGAGGUCAAGCGGAUGGCCAGCCACGCUCCGGAUCCUGCCGUGCGGCUCGCUGUCUGGGCGCUUGUCGGCCUCCUCGACCGGUCGCCGCCGCCUCGUCUGCAGGCGGCAGCGUCGCAGGCCCUGUGCUCCGUCGUUCGCGUCGAUGGUGGCAAGUUCGCCGACGAAAUUGUUGAUGCGGGCUUCCUCCCCGUGGCGCAGAGGCUGCUCCCGGAGUCGGAGGAGGUGCCCCAGAGGAUCCUGCUGAGGUGCCUCAGCUGCAUCCUGUCCUUCCACGCAACUAGCCGUGUGGUAUUUGCGAGGGGCGGUGGCGCAGAGGUUAUCUUGGACCUAUUUCAGGGCUGCUCUGGUGCGACGAAGCGGCACUUGGUGGAAAUUCUGAGCGCGUUAGCAUUGGUGAGAGAAGUCCGGCGUCUGAUCCUAGCUGAUGGAAAGGUCGAAUACCUCGUGGAGGCGAUUUCGUUUGGUAACUUGGUGUCAAGGACCAGAGCAGCUCAGUCUGCUGGCCUGCUUGGUGCAUCAACUAACGGCCGAUCUUCGCUUGUUGAGAUGGGUGCGCCGCUGGCGCUAGUUGGACUAAUGAGGGAUGGUGAUUCCUCAGCGAAGCUUGUUGCUGCUAACGCGCUUGGUAUAGUCUCAUCAAUUGGACACCACCUCCCAUUGAUUCAUCAAUCUGGUGCUAUACCUUUAUAUGCUGAGCUGCUAAAAGAAAACCCUCCACUUGCAAAAGAUAUAGUGGAGGAUGUAUUCUGCAUUUUAGUUUCGAUCAGGGACAAUACUGGAGCGGUUCUGGAGAAUCUGGCUGGAAUCCUGACGGGUCAAGAUGACCUUGCAAUAAGUUCUGCUGUCGAUGUUUUGUUGGCUCUUGCUGAAUAUAAGAGCAUUAUUACUUUCCUUAAAAGUUCUGGAGUAAUAACUGUUCUAGUGGAUCUUCUGCAGAACAGGAAUCAUGAUGUUGUUGAGAAAGUUACAGGAGUUGUUGCACAGUUAAGCUACGAGGAGUGUAUCAGGGAAGGUUUGAUGGAAGCUGGUGCUAUUCCCAUUCUUUUAGACUUGCUUCAUGGCCGUUUAGAGGACUUGACGGAGUUUGCAGCAGCAGAAGCUUUGAUUAACUUUUCUGAAGAUCCAUCAUGCCGGGAGUAUGCACCAAUGCUACAAAGGGUACCAGAACUUUCGGCAUUUCGAGAUCACUUGUUUCAUUUCCGCAUUUCUCAAGGCCACUUGAUUCAAUCUGCAAGAAGAAGGAUAGAGCAGCGUUUGAACUCACAAUAAGAAUUUUCGUGACUCAUGAGGGGGGCUAUAUUGGUUGCAAAUCUGGAGGUUGCUACAAAGGAAGGAUCAAAGGGAUUUAGAAGGCAUGCAAUGCUUGGAAUAUAGUGGCUGUGGAAGUUUUUACUAACAAUAGUGGUUUAGUGAUAGGUUUCUGUGGCUACUCUGGAUGCCACUUCAAAUAUUUCUGUUCUUUCAUGAUGAGAAGGCAUAAUAUUGGAUUGAUGCUAUAGGCACUGGUGGAUGCAAAAGGACCCCUCCCUGCCUUCUCCCUGCACUGCCACCUCCAGGUGCCGUGAACCAAAGGGGAGAGAGGGAGACCAAGAAGAGAAGAAAGGAGAGGUGAAAUUAGGGUACGACGUCAGUCGUCGUCGUUCCUCUCCAAAAAUUGGUGCAAUCGAUGGGGCUGCCAUGAAGUUCAUCGCUAGCGAGAGGAAGACGACUGGGAGUCAUCGUUGGGAUCGCCGUUGUCACCAUUGCCCUUGUUGUUUUCAAGGGGAAACCCUAGUUGAGGCAUGCCCUCAUUGUAAUCCAUGUUUUCCUUACGGUUUCAGAUGUUCUACCACCUGCGUGUAGCCGUACUCGACGCCGUUAAGGGCUAGGGUAAAGUUUUGCCCUCGUCGCUGUUUUCAACACGUAGUCAAUCUGUGCAGUUUAGAGUAAUGUCUGUUUGCAUCCUCUUAAUGGCUUCAAAAAAAUAUCAAACCUUUACAUGAGUUGUAGAGGUUUUGUAGAGGUUUCCAAAUCCGUAAAGAACAGUACAAUCAGAUUUAAGAGCUGAGAGGUAUUGAAGUUUGAUUC
Setaria italica (foxtail millet) is the source of this 2416-nucleotide RNA transcript. RefSeq lists it as uncharacterized. Lineage: Eukaryota; Viridiplantae; Streptophyta; Magnoliopsida; Poales; Poaceae. The transcript is spliced from 4 exons. The record is from RefSeq and is a predicted model, not a curated record.